ACGCUCGACACCUACGGGAGCAGCAGUGGGGAAUAUUGCACAAUGGGGGAAACCCUGAUGCAGCGACGCCGCGUGACUGAAGAAGUAUUUCGGUAUGUAAAGGUCUAUCAGCAGGGAAGAAAGAAGACGGUACCUGACUAAGAAGCCCCGGCUAACUACGUGCCAGCAGCCGCGGUAAUCUGAGCGGGCUGGCAAGGC
This 198-nucleotide ribosomal RNA is filed under the name uncultured bacterium. RNAcentral describes it as "partial 16S ribosomal RNA". It matches the Rfam family "Bacterial small subunit ribosomal RNA", at positions 328 to 539 of the family's 1533-position model. The record is from RNAcentral.